Molecule: RNA transcript, 831 nt
Organism: Erigeron canadensis
Lineage: Eukaryota; Viridiplantae; Streptophyta; Magnoliopsida; Asterales; Asteraceae
Exons: 2
Source: RefSeq, a predicted model, not a curated record
CCUCACUUCCUCCCUCUCUUCUCUCUACCUCCAGCCGCCCCCUCCCCUACUUCCCCUCUAAAAUCCGGUCGACUACCACCAGAACCACCACGGACCACCAUCUGGCCGCCGCUCAACCACCAUCAAUCAUCUUCUUUUUCUUCUUUACUUUUAGCUUUGAGUAAGAUUUAUAUAGAUCCAUGUUUGUUCUUCAUCAAAACUCAAGAAAUUCUUAUAUGUAUGUAUAUAAAUAUAUAUUUUCGGAUUUGAUACGUAUAUGUAAUUGUAAACCCGAAAUCUUUUUAUAAAUAUAUGUAUAAAUCGGUUGUUCUUCUUCUUCCUUCUAUUAAAUUCGAAAUUUUGUAUAUUAUACACACACACAUAUAUAUAUAUAUAUUUUCGGUUACAUAAAUGUUUAUAUAUAUAUAUAUAUGUAUAUAGAUCCGAGUUCUUGACAAAAUAUGUGUAUUUUUCGGGUAUAUAUUUGUAGAUUCGAAAACUUCUUCAGAAAAAUGUAUGGUUUUCGGUUCAAUAUGAGAAUAUGUCAACGUAUAUAUGCGAAAAUCUCUAGAUCCGAAAUGAUUGAACCGAAAUCCUUCCAAAUCCGAAAACUAUGGUCCGAAAUCGUUCAUCUUGGGUACUCAGGCUAAUCAGGGAUAAAGACUGUUAUGCUAGGCUUGGACUUCGGAGAUUAGUGCUCCUUCAUUUAUUGUCAGACUUUAAAGCUAAAUGCCUUUGAUUAUUCCUUUAUGGACCUGGUUGUAAUAAACUAUUCUAGCAUUAUUAUGACUUGAACUCAUGUUCCGGGAAUAUAUUCAUUAUAAUCUAUUUCAUUUAGUGGUAUCUAUGUAA